This 253-nucleotide ribosomal RNA is filed under the name uncultured bacterium. Its description in RNAcentral is "partial 16S ribosomal RNA". It matches the Rfam family "Bacterial small subunit ribosomal RNA", at positions 524 to 776 of the family's 1533-position model. The record is from RNAcentral.
UACAGAGGUCUCAAGCGUUGUUCGGAAUCACUGGGCGUAAAGCGCGCGUAGGCGGUCUGUUAAGUGGGAUGUGAAAUCCCCGGGCUUAACCUGGGAAUUGCAUUUCAAACUGGCCGACUAGAGUACGGUAGAGGGAGGUAGAAUUUCCUGUGUAGCGGUGAAAUGCGUAGAUAUAGGAAGGAAUACCAGUGGCGAAGGCGGCCUCCUGGAUCGAUACUGACGCUGAGGCGCGAAAGCGUGGGGAGCAAACAGG